This 497-nucleotide ribosomal RNA is filed under the name uncultured bacterium. RNAcentral describes it as "partial 16S ribosomal RNA". It matches the Rfam family "Bacterial small subunit ribosomal RNA", at positions 28 to 507 of the family's 1533-position model. The record is from RNAcentral.
GAUGAACGCUGGCGGCGGGCCUAAUACAUGCAAGUCGAGCGAACAGACGAGGGGCUGGCUCCUGUGACGGUAGCGGCGGACGGGGGAGUAACAGGUGGAGAACCUACCUAGGAGACUGGGAUAACUUCGGGAAACCGGAUCUAAUACCGGGUAAUAUAUUGAACAGCAUGGUUCAAGAGUGAAAGGCGGGUUGGCUGUGACUUGUAGAUGGAUCCGCACCGCAUUAGCUAGUUGGGAAGGGAACGGCUUACCAAGGCAACGAUGCGUAGCCGACCCGAGAGGGUGAUCGAGCACCCUGGCACUGAGAAAGGGUCCCGACUCCUACGGGAGGAAGCAGUCGGGAAUCUUCCGCAAUGGGCGAAUGCCUGAUGGAGGACCGCGGCGUGAGUGCUGAUGGUCUCAGGAUCGUAAAACUCUGUUAUUCGGGAAGAACAAAUGCGUAAGUAACUAUGCACGUCUUGACGGUACCUAAUCAGAAAGCCACGGCUAACUUCGUG